RNAcentral lists this ribosomal RNA (506 nucleotides) under Mimaenictus wilsoni. RNAcentral's name for it is "partial 16S ribosomal RNA". The stretch from base 384 to 506 matches the Rfam family "Bacterial large subunit ribosomal RNA", at positions 2473 to 2596 of the family's 2925-position model. The record is from RNAcentral. Lineage: Eukaryota; Metazoa; Arthropoda; Insecta; Coleoptera; Staphylinidae.
UUUUUGUAAUUAAUUUAAAGUCUAGCCUGCCCAAUGAUAAUUUUAAUGGCCGCAGUAUUUUGACUGUGCAAAGGUAGCAUAAUCAUUAGUUUUUUAAUUGAGAACUGGAAUGAAAGGCUGGACGAGAAAAUAACUGUCUCUUUAUUAAUUUUUUAGAAUUUUAUUUUUAAGUUAAAAAGCUUAAAUUUUUUUAAAAGACGAGAAGACCCUAUAGAGUUUUAUUAAUUUAAUGAUAAUAUAUUAUAUAGAUUUUUUUUUAUUUUUAUUAUUAUAUUAAUUUAAUUGGGGUGAUUGAAAAAUUUAAUUAACUUUUUUUUAAUGAGAACAUUAAUAUAUGAUUAAUUGAUCCAUAAAUUAUGAUUAUAAGAUUAAAUUACCUUAGGGAUAACAGCGUAAUUUCUUUUUAGAGUUCUAAUCGAUAAAGAAGUUUGUGACCUCGAUGUUGGAUUAAAAUAAAUUUUUGGUGUAGUAGCUAAAAUAUUAGGUCUGUUCGACCUUUAAAAUUU